This 273-nucleotide small nuclear RNA is filed under the name Jaculus jaculus (lesser Egyptian jerboa). RNAcentral describes it as "7SK RNA (ENSJJAG00000005828.1)". It matches the Rfam family "7SK RNA". From Rfam's summary of the family: 7SK was discovered as an abundant small nuclear RNA in the mid-70s but a possible function has only recently been suggested. Two independent studies have found that 7SK RNA binds the CDK9/cyclin T complex (known as elongation factor P-TEFb). The record is from Rfam by way of RNAcentral. Lineage: Eukaryota; Metazoa; Chordata; Mammalia; Rodentia; Dipodidae.
GGCUCUGAGGCUGAUCUGGCUGCAACAUCUGUCAUCAGCUGAUCUGACUGUCUGGGCUGCUGUCCCCUUCCUCCCUCGUGGCUCCAUGUGUGUCCCUCCCGAACCUGAGUGUUUGGUUAAAGAAGACAACCUUCCUCAAAUAGAGAACAGAUCUCCAGUCAAGGGCACACAAGUAGCUGCCCUCCCAUUAGGACCUCCAACCAAGUUCUCAAAAGCACAAGGAGAUGCCACCACAAACCCAUAAAACGGUGAAUAUAUGAGGUACUUGUAACC